Molecule: microRNA precursor, 96 nt
Organism: Seriola lalandi dorsalis
Lineage: Eukaryota; Metazoa; Chordata; Actinopteri; Carangiformes; Carangidae
Source: Ensembl
UGUGCUCUGCAGUGUGAGGUAGUUGGUUGUAUGGUUUCGCAUAAUAAACAGCACGGAGAUAACUGUACAACCUUCUAGCUUUCCCUGCGGAGUCAC